Heterocephalus glaber (naked mole-rat) is the source of this 1958-nucleotide long non-coding RNA. NCBI's taxonomy places the organism in Eukaryota, Metazoa, Chordata, Mammalia, Rodentia, Bathyergidae. The record is from Ensembl.
AAGACUGCAGCCAGAGAAAGGGAUGAGAAAUCAAUGCCUAAGUCUCUCCACUUGGGGGGGGGGGGUCAGCAGCAGAAUGAGGGUUGGGGUAGAGUAGCGGGACCUCACCAGCCCCCCCAGAACAUAUACACUCCUGUACACAGGCAGCCACAGGAGGUCAGCUGCUUACAGAAGAGGGAGGCCGGUCCAGGGUGGGAGCAGAGGGUACCCUCUAUGUCAGCACACUGGGGACCCUAAGACAGAGAAGAGGUUGGGGAGACUUCUCCAAGCCUAGGGGCUUUUCCGUCAGAUUUCCGAGAGUUGUUGGGCACCCCACCUAGCACACAGUGGGGGGCUGACUCCUUGCCCAGCAGCAGCCUGACAGCCGUGCCCAGUUAGGCGCGUAGGGGACUCAGCCAAGCCCAUGUUCCGGCCCCCGCCCCCAGCAGACACACAUCUGGCUAGCAGCUUCCAAGCCUCGUGGGUAGCACCCGGUCCCAGACAUGCUCAGCAGAGCAAGGUCGGCCAGUCUGCUCCUCCGCCUCCACUCACCCCAAAAGGCUUCCACAACCCCACGCAGCACAAGACCCGGGGACACCCCACCCAACGGCACCAGCUCGCACCCCGCACCCCAAUCUCCGCCCGCCUCCACGGGGGCACCAGCUGAGCGGGCCCCGCCCCCCAGCCUGUCCCUCCGGUGUUGGGGGAGCAGGCGGGUUCUCCCCCAAACCACGGAGCGGCUCAGCACCCCUACCCCAAGGGCCUUGUAGCCUGAGCCCCACCAAUGGCAGGCCCCAGGAGGAGGCUCACCACCUGCCACCUCCUACCCCCACCGGCUCCACCCAGUUUAGAUGCUGCAGGUCUCACUAUGCAAUUCGGGCUGGCUUUGAACUCACUGUGUAGCCCAGGUUGAAACUGAACUCAUGGAGAUCCUCCUGCCUCAGACCCCCAAGCACUGGGAUUACAGGCGCCCCCUGGUGAAGACAGGCGGGCUUUAGCAUCCCCACGGGGCUGGGCCCGCUCCUGCCCCUCUCCACUGCCCACCCCCAUCUCGCCGGACCCUGCUCCCGUGGCAACAAGCUGGUGAGACCCCUGGGCCGCUCUGCCCCCUGCCCACCACUCACCACCCCCUCUCCUACCUGCCCCACCUCCUCCUGCCACCCAGGUUGUACCGGGGCGCGAGUCUCCUUUAACGUGUCCUGGCAGCACCCCUGCCCCGGCCCCACGCCCCACGUACACACACAUGCGCUCACACACGCUUCUGCCAGCCGCACGCUGCCAGCAGCUGCCAGAGCUGUUGAGCAGGAGGGAGCCCGGGAGGGUGGGGUGCAGGGAUUGGGUUUCCAGCUCCGAGGGGGUGGGCCGUCACCCAAUCCCUUCUCCCUCCCGCGGCCUCCCUCCAGCCUCUGGCAGGCAGCCCACUACCCUUGGAGCCCGGCCCCCACCCCCAGUCCACCUAGUGUAGGAAGUAAGCGUUGGAGAGUAUUUGUCAUGCGGAGACCAGCCCAGGAGAGGAGAGAAGCAGCAAGGCGGAGACAGACAGACAGACAGACAAACAGACGGGAUUCCUGUGCUCUGUGCUCCAGCUGCAACCAACCACUAGCACCCACCCCUGCCUCCAGGCCUCAGAGAAGGGAUCCCUUUGGACCAGGAAUCAGAAGCCCAGAGCCUGAGCUGGCCGAGGUAAACCACACCUGUGAUCCCAGCACUGAGGAGGCUGAGGCAAGAGGAUCACCACAAGUUUGAGGCCAGUUUACCCUACAUAGUGAGUUGAAGCCCAGCCUGGCCUACAGAGCGAGACCCAAAACAAACUAACAAAUAAACCUGUCCUGUCUCCCUGCCAAUCAGCCCUGCUUGCUUCCUGAGCUGGGGAAUCCUAGUCGUCCUGUCCUUAACUGGUCCUGUCACUGUGGACACAUCCCUGGCCGGGUCCCUGGCCGGGUCCCUGGUCUAAUAGGAGGCAACUGGGCAGGACGCCC